RNAcentral lists this ribosomal RNA (253 nucleotides) under uncultured bacterium. RNAcentral describes it as "partial 16S ribosomal RNA". It matches the Rfam family "Bacterial small subunit ribosomal RNA", at positions 524 to 776 of the family's 1533-position model. The record is from RNAcentral.
UACGAAGGGGGCUAGCGUUGCUCGGAAUCACUGGGCGUAAAGGGCGCGUAGGCGGCCGAUCAAGUCAGGGGUGAAAGCCUGUGGCUCAACCACAGAAUUGCCUUUGAUACUGUUCGGCUCGAGACCGGAAGAGGUAAGUGGAACUGCGAGUGUAGAGGUGAAAUUCGUAGAUAUUCGCAAGAACACCAGUGGCGAAGGCGGCUUACUGGUCCAGCACCGACGUUCAGGCACGAAAGCGUGGGGAGCAAACAGG